GCCCCCUGCAUGAGCAGGAAAGACAUCUGGGGUCAGACGACCCCAGCCAGGUGACUGUCCAGUCUUUUCUUGAAGACUUCUAGGGUACAUGAUUUCACCAUCUCUGGGGGGAGCUUGUUCCAUAGUCUGGACACCCUAGUUGUAAAGAAGAAAUUGGAGGGGGCGGAGG
Molecule: long non-coding RNA, 169 nt
Organism: Gavialis gangeticus (Gharial)
Lineage: Eukaryota; Metazoa; Chordata; Crocodylia; Gavialidae
Exons: 3
Source: RefSeq, a predicted model, not a curated record